Long non-coding RNA from Chinchilla lanigera (long-tailed chinchilla), 1174 nucleotides. RefSeq lists it as uncharacterized. The record is from RefSeq and is a predicted model, not a curated record. The transcript is spliced from 5 exons. Lineage: Eukaryota; Metazoa; Chordata; Mammalia; Rodentia; Chinchillidae.
GGCUCUCAUGGGAUUACUUGAAGGACUUUCGAUUAUGCAGGGAAAGCCUUUUUCAGAAGUAUGGAUAUCUCCUUGGAGCUCACUUUCCUUAUAUCCCUGGACAGUAUAAACCCGGUUCAGGUUCUACCAGCCCAGAUGUCUUCAUUCCAAAGAGAAGAAUGCUUUUACUAGAGGGAUUGGACAAGUAUUUCACUGAACUGGAGGUUGGGGUGGCUGCUCGGGCACUUUGGGCUCCACAUACCUGUGAAUCAAUACAAAGAAGGAGAUGACUCCGACUGCUGUACCUCCCCUUAGAAGAAAAAAAUUCCAAAUCCAGACCAAACCAACAGAUCAACCCACAGAAAGAACAAAGAAAGGAAGAACAAAGACCAAUAUAAACUAUAAAGAUUGAUAUUUGAAUGCUGCCUACUUACCAAAAGAUUUGAUUCUUCUGAUAUACUUACUUAAAUCAUCCUACAGUAGUUAAGUGUUCAGUGUGCAUAAAGAAUCACCAUUCAGCUUUCAUCUAUUGUAACCAGUUGAACUCCCAUCAUUUUGUAAUCUCUCUCUGCCUUACAUAUUCCAGAUACAUAUUUGUUUUACAACUAGAACCAUAUUAUAAUAUAUUCUUUAGAGGAUGAGUAUAAAUACCAGAAAUUCCCAUAUAUACAGGCUCCUAGAGAAAGAAGUAAGCCUUUCCUGUUGAAGAUCAGUUUAUCUUUGUUUUGAAUGUUUAAAAGUAUAAGAGAAACAUGUCUGAAAUUCUUGCUGAGGGCCUGGGGUUAUAAAUUAUACUAUGUCUUUUUUUCUGGCUUAGAAGAACUGUGGUAAAUGGAGUGAAUUCUGAGGUCAGCAUGAGCUCUGAAGUCAGGAACAUCUGAAUUCCAGCUUCCCUGCUUUGUCAUGUUGUCUUGAGCAAGCCUCAGUUGCCUCCUCUGUAAACGGAAUAUAUUUCCCGGUGUUCAAGGCAUGAUGGAUGGAGGUCGAUUUAUCUUGCAGCAGUGGGGAAAAGCCAAGAGAAUCACAAAUAUUUCAGCCCAGACUUCCAACUUGUCAUUGUUUCUUUGAUGAGGAUAAAAAAGUGAAAUCUGCUUAUAGGUAAAAUGUGCAGUAUAUUAAACCAGGAAUGGUGGUGGACACCUGUAAUCCAAGAACUCUGAGAAGCUGAGGUUUGAGCUCGGCUGGGCAACUUAGU